AGCCUAUAUACAAAUAUUACACUUAAAUGGUCAGAAAAGCUUUAGUGUAGCUAUACAAUCUCUGUAAUGUUCAACUCAGAUUGUUCAAGGAUGGUUUCGUAUGACACUUUGACUACUAUGAGGGUUUUGUUCUGUCCAAAGUAACACACAAAGAAUUAAACAUUUUAUUGAAAACAAUGUAUGUGUACCAUAGAAGAACAAGAAAUAAACCUGGAAGUAUGAUAAAUUUUACCGUCCACCUCAGCUACAAUCAAUAACCUACAAAAGCCAAAACGGAAACAGACCAUUAGGGAAUAAUAAAUCUUUUCAGUAUUUCCAGUACCAUCGAAAACACGAGCAGGGGAAAAAUGAUUAUCUGGUUCAAUUAGUUAGUAAAUAGUAGAGCUACCUCUAGUUGCUCAUAAAGACUCCUUUUGAACGUCUAGUUGCAGUUGUAGUGCCUCCUUAAGUUGCGUAUCGCCGCAAAUGGUUUUCAAAUCUUUCUAAGAAACAUGAAAUUAACUGCGAUGGAAGAAAGUUUGUAUCUUUGCAACUGUUUAGGCUCAACACGUGGAAAAUAAAAGGCUAGUUUUGAGCUUAACACAAUCUCUAAUAUGCAUUCUACUAAAAUAUAGGUAGCGCAUUCUACUAAAAUAUAGGUAGCAUGAAGUAGCAAUUUUACAUUUCGAUGCCAAUCCAUGCUGCAUUAUUUAACUAAUCUUCUUCACAGAUCUUUUAGUUGCAUCAUCUAUGUGAAAAUAACAGUAAAAAAAAGAGCAAGUUAGCAACAAUAUGAGAAGGCAAGACAUGGGUUUGGCAAAUGUCAAAGGAACAAUUGUAGCAGAUAUCUCGCAUUACGAGUCAUGUCUUAUUCAGGGAAUAAAUAAAGGAUGACCCUGCAAUUAGACCACCCAAAAUACUCCAUGAAAAGGAUACCACAUACCUUCUUAAAUGCAGACUGACAAAGUGGCACUGAUAAGAAGUAUUAGAACUUUACUAGCAUCAUCGACCUUACCUUCAAAUUUCAACGAUAAAAUAAGUAACCAAGAAAUAAGCAGUUUAACUUAGGCUCUAAUAAAUAAAAUAUGGGCAUUGACAAUAAAUUGAAAAGACAUUGUACGUGUGUGGCCAAUUCUCUAUUGGCUAAAGCAAGAGAAUACUAGGUAACCUUCCAUAUCCAGCCCUCCGCCAUGCUUUUGCAGGGACAUUAGUCAAUGAGAGAUAUAUAAAAGGCAGAGCUAGGGAACUAACUCAAACACUUUGCACAAACACAAAAAAGAGAAGAAAAUGAUGCAAUAUAACCAAAGUAUACCCGAGAGGAUCCAGUUUUCAAUACUCUAAGUUGUUGUCAAUAACCAGAAAAGCACGAGCCAGAUGAAAUCUCCCAACCGAGGCAUUUUAAGAAGAAAAAAAAAUCUCCAUUAAAAUCAGAAUAGAAUAAAGAUAACUGAAAAGUAUACAUUAUCACCAAUUCCCCAAAAGCUGUUUAAGAAAUUAAAUUUUACAAUAAGGAUAACAAACAAAAAAGACCAGAAAAGAGAGGCUAAAACUAAGUCAUUCAGUUCCAGCUAUCACAUUUUCAAUUACCCAAGUAUUAAAAGAAUACUUCAUACAUUCAUACAUUACACAAGCAGCAUACUAAUUGAAUUUGCAAGGGUUAAGUUGCGAAGAGCCGAAAAGUUCAGUGAAACGUGACCUAAUUGAAGUUUACUUCAAACUCAUUAGUCACAAAACUAGGAUUACUGAAAAUUAACCAAAACAUAAAAUUGAAGAUGGAAGGAGAAAAGUGUUCACCUAGAAUCGGAUAUCAAAUCGCGAUUGAGAAAAUUGCGAAGUCGGAUGAAGUCGGAUGGAUACAAAUUUGACAAUCAAAUCGCGAUUAAACUCGAAUUUGAAAAGAAAUUAAGACGAUAAACUUAAAGCCUAAUUAGCAAUGUAAGCAUCAAUCUGAUGGCGGAGGCGGUCCGGUGGUGGUAACGAUGGCAGUGGCGUUGAUGGUGAUGGCGAUGGAGCCGGUGGCGGUGGCGGUGGCGUAGCAGGAUCGAAGAAAAGCCCUAGCAUUUCUAAACGACGGGAGAGAGAAACGUAUUAAGAAAAAAAAUGAGAGAGGCUUUUUU
RNAcentral lists this long non-coding RNA (2096 nucleotides) under Erythranthe guttata (spotted monkey flower). Its description in RNAcentral is "long non-coding RNA (EGUT_LNC002270)". Lineage: Eukaryota; Viridiplantae; Streptophyta; Magnoliopsida; Lamiales; Phrymaceae. The record is from RNAcentral.